RNAcentral lists this small RNA (31 nucleotides) under Arabidopsis thaliana (thale cress). RNAcentral's name for it is "ATSL004330". The record is from RNAcentral. Lineage: Eukaryota; Viridiplantae; Streptophyta; Magnoliopsida; Brassicales; Brassicaceae.
UUUAUGCCUUGAUUGUCUACUUUUGUUUUUG